GACGAACGCUGGCGGCGUGCCUAACACAUGCAAGUCGAACGGAAAGGCCCUGCUUUUGUGGGGUGCUCGAGUGGCGAACGGGUGAGUAACACGUGAGUAACCUGCCCUUGACUUUGGGAUAACUUCAGGAAACUGGGGCUAAUACCGGAUAGGAGCUCCUGCUGCAUGGUGGUGGUUGGAAAGUUUCGGCGGUUGGGGAUGGCCUCGCGGCUUAUCAGCUUGUUGGUGGGGUAGUGGCUGACCAAGGUUUUGACGGGUAGCCGGCCUGAGAGGGUGACCGGCCACAUUAGGACUGAGAUACGGCCCAGACUCCUACGGGAGGCAGCAGUGGGGAAUAUUGCACAAUAGGCGGAAGCCUGAUGCAGCAACGCCGCGUGCGGGAUGACGGCCUUCGGGUUGUAAACCGCUUUCGCCUGUGACGAAGCGUGAGUGACGGUAAUGGGUAAAGAAGCACCGGCUAACUACGUG
Molecule: ribosomal RNA, 468 nt
Filed under: uncultured bacterium
Lineage: Bacteria
Description: partial 16S ribosomal RNA
Rfam family: Bacterial small subunit ribosomal RNA
Source: RNAcentral